CUGCCCCGGUGACAGUCCAGACCUUGAGUAGCAAUCUGGAACACUCCUGACUGGCUCUUCAUCCCUCCCUGAUCUGAGUUGGCAGUCAGUCCACCAGCAGCUGUGGAGGAGGGCUAUGCACUGGGAAACUGACAGCAAGGGCACUGAAUCUUCUGCUCCAGACCCUCCUUCUCCGAGAACCUUCCAAGAAGGCAGGUGCCAAACGCUGUGAGUGCUCAUGCAGGGUCCUCCGGGGAGGAGGGAGAUGAAUGUCUCUGUGAGAUGCUCAGGAAAUUGUCCCCACCCACCAACCUGGCUGAGCCGUUGGCUGUGGGGCACCUCCAUGCUGUGCUGCACACUCCGCUCAUCUUCAUGAGAUCACCUUCCUGCAGGCGCUAACCCUCUGAUUCUUUUGAAAAGGAGAAAUCAGGUCUUGGGAAAGCCGGUGAUUUUCCUACAAGCAGCUGCAGGUAGUAUUCACACUCAGGUCUUUUGGCUUCCAGGCCAAAAGAGGUCUCUCUAGAAUACACCAGUACUCACUGAGCACAUACUAUGUGCAGAGACUGCUCUGGGUACAGGGGACAUAGCCAUGGACAGAACAGACUUCUCCAAAGGCCCUUAAGGCCAGGGCACUGGGGCUGCUUACUCCAUCUGCAGAGUUUGUGGUUAGACUGACCAGGCGCUCAGGUCUGGACGGGAAGCCCCGCACUGCAAUAAGGAACUGUGGCUGCUCUUUCUUCUCACAUCCAGGUCUGGGACUAGCUUCUCAGCCCCAGAGACAAAAGGGUACUUCCCAAACCCACCCCACUCAGUGACACUGGGCCAUCUCUGAGAACACAGCAAGUCCCUGUGGCCCCAGCCCACUGCCAUAGCGCUGUCUGCCAGAAUCCACACCUGCCUCCUCUUCACCCACCUACUGACUCCUGGAGAGAGAAAGACAAGUCCUUGGCCUUUAUGACACUAACUGCAAUAAGUCAGACACAGCUGCAGCAAACUCAGUGUCAUCAGAGGAGACACAAAAUGUAGGGAGUGUGUCUAUGAGGAAGUUUUCAUAUUUGCUGCUCACACUACAAGCUUCUCACUGCUGUUCACACCACAAGCUUCCUCUUCAUUUUGUUUAAGAAAGGUGGAUCCUAUCCCAGUUACUCCAAAACUCUGCAGUGCCAUACUGUGAAAUCCUAAUCCGACUGUACCAAAGGCCAGAGAGACCUCGGCUUGGCCCCAGCUGCCUUGCUUACUAUCCUCCUCACAGGAUCAUUUUGAGGUUGAAAUUGAAGCAUUAAGCUCACAUAGGCACCAUGUGCAUUUUAAAGCUUUUCCACUCUCUGUCCUCUCCACCAGCAUUGUUUGUGCUCCUGUUCACACUUAACACAUCUGGUCCUCGUCAUCUGUGGACCCCUUUGCCUUCACACUGUCCUCAGAGCCUGCUCAGCUGCCCAGCCCCAGUGCCUGGUCCAGAGGUCAGUUCACAGCAAGCACUCAGCAUUCAUUCUGGAUCCGUGUCUCCCAAAAUGCAGUCCCGGAACAGCAAUGCUACCCAGCCAUCUGAGGCCAAUUCAUUUGUCAUGUAAGGCAGGCACCAAAAGAUGGCACAUCCUUACCUAGAAAUCAGUCAUUUAUGUGUCAGGGAGGAAGACAAGAGUGUUCACUCUGAUCCCUGACUCCAGUCAGUUACAGCAGGAAAUACUUUUUCAAAACUUGUAACUGUGGCUGAAAAGCCUUGACACAAGUGGGGGAGGACACAAAGCAACUCUUCAAAGUUGGGAGGCUUCACACAGUUCAAAGCCCAGUGUAGAUCUGGAGUGCCUUCACCAAGGACUAUUUGGUCUAUGAGUGGCUCUCUUGUAUUUUACUCAAACAAGCUCCAAAAAACUUCCUCAUUCAGGUAGUCACAAGCCACCACUUUUUAGAGAUGAGGAAACUGUUGCUCAGAAGGUUUAAGUGACUCAGAGAUAGUAAGUGGAGAAUUGGACACAUGCUUGCAUGCACAUACACAUGCACACGCACGCGCAUGUGCGCACACACACACAAACACACACUCCACCCAAUGUGAGGAUGGAUACAAUCAGACCUUCAAUCCCAGUCACUCACAUACCUGAAGACACCUGUCUUUCUGUCUCUGUAUCCAUCUGCCCUGCAAAUCUAUACCCUCCUGUCAGUAUUUGGUGGAUGGAAACCUCAGUUUCUCUCGUCAGCUCUCUUCUUUGACAAGAGAAUCGAGCCAUCCUGGCUCUGUCUUUCUGCAGCUUAAAAAAAUAAAAUAAAUAAAUAACCACACACACAGAUAUUGUGCACACACCCCCUAGUGGCCACAUGUGGAGGCACAUGCCCCACAAAGUUUGCGUUGGGGUUGAUAACCACUUGAGUUUGAGAAGGAAACCCCAGAUAGGAUUGCAACUCCAUCCUAGGAAGGAGGAUGGUGAAAGAUGAUCUUAUGUGGAAGACAGUGAAAAUGGAAAAAGACAAAGAAAAGGGGAGGAGAAAGAAAAAUGUGAUGGAGAAAAAGAAGGCAGGAGAACCAAAGGAAGAUUAAAGAAAGGUAUAUAGAAUAGGAGGAGUGAGAGAAAAAAAUAAGGCAAGCUUAAAGGAGGGACGUUUCUCAAUGUGAAGUCUUUCUCUAUUUCAAAUAUAAGCACAAAAAGUAAUGAUGGAAAAUAAUGCGAAUUGGUGUGUCCAGGGUCAGCUGGCCAUCCUGUACACAGGCAGGUGGGGACAGACGAGCCAAGGAUGAGAGGUGACAGGGCCCGUAUCUGACCCCGUCACUGCCUGACUUGGUAAUAUUUUCAGAAUCCAAAGCUUUCUCUGUCCCUAUUUCUGAGCUUGUAAAGGGUAGCUAAUAGCAGUUGUUUGUUGAGUUCUGAUGAGAACAAUAAAGAUUUGCAGAGAAAACCCUGAAAAGUGCUCUAAGCUCUUGGACAUAACCAUCACAGAAAUGUGUUUUGUUAUUUUGCUCAAUGCAGCAAAAACCCUCCAUCCUUUGCUUCCUGGUGUAAAAGGUUAUAUGUGAUGCUGGAGUGCCAAAGUACUUGGUGUAUUUCAACAGUGCAUCAAGUUAUCACCACCUCUGGUGCUUUGGAAGAUGCUGUGAUUUGGAAAGCACUGUCGAAAUGUAAAACAUUAUUGCCACAGUAGUAAAAAUAUCCGUGUCCAUCUCCUAGUCCACUAUUUCUUGUCAGGAUGCAUAGAGAUACACAUGAAACAAUUCUGUACACAUUAGUAGAAUGUUUUACAGCAAAACUGCACAUAUCUGAGUUUGGCAAAAUAAUCAGAAACAAAAUAUUUCUGUCAGUGUCAAGUUACCCUUAGUGUCCGAACAGCUACCAAGGGGGUGAUAAAGUGUUUAGUGCCCACUGCAAAUGUGAACACAUCCGGGUUUCAUAGAAAAAUGCCAGCUUGGGCUUGUGUUUUUCUUUAGUUAAGAAAGGAAGAAACAAACUUAACAAAAAUGGCUGUGGAAAAAGAAUGGACAUAAAGCUGAGAUUGUGGACUUAAGUUAGAUCACUGAAUUACAAGAGAAACAUUUUUUCUCAAAAUCAAAGUCGACUUUUGUUGGUGACUCAACUGCAAACUCACUGAACGUCUCUGUGAAUUUCAUUCUUUGGCGUUUCUCUAGCGUAGCACUAGCCUUCCCACUAAUAUCAGCCCUCAUCACCACCAUGUCUGGAUUUAUACCAAGAGGAGACACAAUGCCUCAAAAUCCAUUGCUUGUUGUUAAUGGAGAGAUUGCGGUUACUGGUUAUACCUGGGCAACCUCGAUCAACUUUAUCACACCUCUAAUGACAGCU
This 3764-nucleotide long non-coding RNA is filed under the name Homo sapiens (human). RNAcentral's name for it is "HSALNT0144516". Lineage: Eukaryota; Metazoa; Chordata; Mammalia; Primates; Hominidae. The record is from RNAcentral.